This 5057-nucleotide long non-coding RNA is filed under the name Brassica napus (rape). RNAcentral describes it as "long non-coding RNA (BNAP_LNC026178)". Lineage: Eukaryota; Viridiplantae; Streptophyta; Magnoliopsida; Brassicales; Brassicaceae. The record is from RNAcentral.
AGAACAAUAAGUAAGCUACAUUUUCAUGUUCCUUUCAAGACCCUACGCUUUUAUUUGACGGUUUUAGAUUGGACAUCGAUGCAUUUACAACCGCUCAUGAUUGUGAUCUUCACGAGGUAAUGAUCAUUGUAGCCUUCUCCAUUGUCUGCUUCGUAAGAUUCCAAGGCUGAAGCCACAUCAGCUGCUGCUCUUUUCUCAACCUCAUUGCUUUUUGUUCCUGCAGUUCCACCUUUCUGAGCAGGAACUCUCUCUCUCUCUCUGCAACACACAAUGCUCCAUAGAUCACAUAAACAACCAAGAACUUGUAUAAGGUUCAGUUUAAUCCAAAAUUUACUUGCAUAAUCUUAAAACAAUGGCCAAUUUUGAGAAAAAAAGAUAGAAAUUGAAAAUAAUAGGGAGCUGGGUAACAUUAAAAACUACCUACAUUCAAAAUCAAAUAGGCAUGACUGGAGUAUUAUACACCUAUGAGAAAGAAGUUGCAAGUAGAAUCCAUUGAUCAAAUCAGAUAGUAUUAAAAAGUUUUAGAUUAUUAGAUAGAGGGUAAGAAACAAAAUCAGAACUUUUGAUGGGAUAUAUUUAAGGAGUCAGACCUGCAUGGAAUAGCUAUGGAUCCAAGCAUUGUGCCAGGCUAUUGAUAUAUAGACCUAAAGAUCGACCUAUCUACCAAAACCAAUCAAUACAAAUUCAAAACCUAAACCACAGAGCACAACCAACCAAAAAAUCUAAUUAAGAUUAUAGCAAGAACGCACUUGGAUUGGAUGGUGAGGUGAGCUUUGUGAUGGGCAAGACAAAGAGAGCAAAGCUCACCGUUGGUGCAGUCUAAGUAAUACAUAUUGCAAUCACCCUUGUGAGAGUCUACAUGAAACUUGCAGUGAACAAAUAACUGCUCUUUAAGCAGAGGUUUCACCCAUGGCGGGCAUCAAUUAUCUUCCUCCUCUGGUCCACCAGCUCCCUGCACCAAAACCAAUACAGAUUUGAUUAUCUGUUCCAGAACAUAAACAUUUGGUAUACGAUUAUAUAUAUACUCCAAGAGAACAUUUAAACAUAUCUCUUAAACCACAACUGAACUUCAAAAAUUUCACCUUUUAUACUUCAAUUUCAAAAAGUUAUCAUUUUAGGAAUCAUAUUAAAACCCAUUAAUGUUUUAGAUUCUUGCUCACUAUUUAUAUGGAAUUAUGUGGGUUAAAAGUUUAAGAUCUUAUACAAUAAAAGAGACUUUUGUCUCUCCUUCUUGUGCCACAUCAUCAGGAAGGAGAGGGCAAAACAUGACAUGUGGCAUCUCCUAUGUUUCUCUACAUCGACGUCUCUCAAUUUUGACGAGAGAACUGGGUUUCUUUUUCCGUAGGCCCAUUAAAGUAGAAAAACUCAUUUUCCAGAAGCGCUUUGCCUCCAUCGUCUUCUUGAUUUACCCUACCAUCACCUUUUUGAAACCGUCGAAAUCACUCCUAUCUUCCACUCCACCACCUUUUUGAAACUGUUAAUUAAUCAUUGCAAUAGAUGAUAUCUUCAUCCGUCUAGCUUCCAUGUGUUCCCCACCAAUUCCGACGACUAUGGCCUGUUCGUUUGCUCACCCAGAUGAUCCAUCUGGGUUAAGAUGCAAAUCGAUGUUCGUUUUGUGCAUUAUAAUGCUACAUCCAGAUGGAUCACCCAGCUGAAUUUUUAAAAACUCAUCUCAAAUUCUCACCCAAAUGAAGGUGACUCUUGAUGGUGCAUCUGGAUGCAGAUGCAUCUAGUUCAGUCCAAAAUAAUAAAUGACAAAAAUGACCUUUUAAAAUCAAAAUUUUAUUUUCAAACCCUAAAUUCUAUUUUUUUGCAUAUACAUUUUUCUGCUAUAACCAAAAAAUGCAUUUUCUCGCAAAAACUAAAAAACACACUUUCCCGCCAAAACCGCAAGAUGCGUUUUUCCGCAAAAAAACGUAAAACACACAUUUCCAUAAAAACACAUUUUUUGGCCAAACCAGUAAAACCGCACUUUUCGACCAAAACCGAAAAAUCGCAUUUUCCCGUCAAAACAAAAAAACGCAUUUUCCCACCAAAACCUCAAAAACGCAUUUUCCCGCCAAAACCCAAAAAACACAUUUUCCCGCCAAACUCCAAAAAGCAUUUUCCGGCCAAAACCGCAAAAAGCAUUUUCUCGCCAAAACCGGAAAAACGCAAUUUUCUCGCCAAAACCGGAAAAACGCAAUUUUCCCGCCAAAACCGGAAAAAUGAUAUGCGAUGUCUGUUUUUAAGUUGCCCAAAGACCUUUGUGAGAGACUCACCAGCGCUAUGGUGGAGUACUGGUGGAGUAGUGGAUCUAACCGGAAGAAUAUCCCAUGGGUGGCCUGGCAAAAGCUCUGCAAAUGCAAAGAAGAAGGGGGUCUCGGUUUUCAUGAUAUUAGCAGGUUUAACCAAUCUUUAUUGGCUAAGCAAGCGUGGCGCAUUUUUAUGAAUCCGGAAUCUCUUGUCUCUAAAGUUCUAAAGAGCAAAUAUUGGAAGAAUAGUUCCUUCAUGGAAUGUGGGCUUGGUUCAAGACCGUCUUUUGCGUGGAGGAGUAUUCUCCAUGGCCGGGAGUUGCUGGAGAAGGGUUUGCUCAAAAGAGUUGGUGAUGGUGCAUCUACAAAAGCCUGGACAGAACAUUGGAUCAUGGGGCCUUUUCCGCGCCCCCCUAUGUACCGUAUGGAUGCUCAAGUUGAUCUCACACUUACGGUCUCUGAUCUUCUGAUCCCUCAUACAAAUUAUUGGGAUGUAACAAAGGUGCGAAGUCUAUUUGUUGCUGGGGAUGCAAAUACUAUACUUAAUAUGCAUGUGGAAAGACAUCAGACGGCUGCUCUAGUGUGGGGCUUUACUCCUCGUGGUCAUUAGUCCUCUCGGUCUGGAUAUAAGUUACUGGAAAACAUUGCGAACUUUAAUGAUGCUCAGCACCGGACUCUCCCUCCAAUCGAGAAGAUGCUGUGGCGGAGUAUUUGGAAGCUUCAGACCUCUCCUAAGAUACGCCACUUUGUUUGGAGAACGUUGGCUGGUGCUUUGGCUGUAUCUGAUCGCUUGAGAUCGAGGGGAAUCCAAGUAGAUACUACAUGUAAGAACUGUGGAAUGGGACCGGAAACAAUUUGUCAUGCCCUUUUCACUUGCCCGGCUGCACAAGACGUAUGGAGAGCAGCGAGACUGCCUAUGCCUCCUUUGGGUCUGUCUAUGAAUUCUGUGUUUCUUAACUUACAUCACCUGGUUGCUUGCACUAAAAGCAAAGACGUUUCGACCAAACUCAAACAGAGUAUUCCCUGGAUCUUAUGGCAUAUAUGGAAAGCCAGAAAUGGAUUGAUUUUUGACAAGACUCAUUUAUCUCCUGUUUCAAUCUUGUGUAAAGCUGAGGAAGAAGCAGAGGAGUGGUUCGUGGCUAACUUUCCGGAUCAGAUGAGGUCGCAGGAUCUGGUCCUUGAUCAACCGCAGGUUUCAACUUGGCAAGCUCCUCCCCCAGGUAUGAUUAAAUGUAAUAUUGGGGUAUCAUGGGUGAAUGGGGUGGUCAAUUGUGGCGCUUCAUGGAUUACUCGAGACUCAAGAGGGAGUGUGCUUAUGCAUAAUCGACGCUCCUACUCUAGGAUUCAAUCACUUGAAGAAGCUGAACUUUGGGCAAUUUUAUGGGCAGUUGAGAGUAUGAAAUCGUUGAGGCUUGACAACAUAAUUUUUGAGUCUUCCUUUGCUCACGCACGGCGCGUAUUAUAUAACGGGGAUGGUCAGGUAUGUGCUCCUAAAUCCUCUCGGGUGUCAUAUUCUAUCAGAUCUCAACUACAUCUUUUGAGGGGUUGGAGCCUCAACCACAUUCUCCCAGCAAGAAACUCUAUAGCCUUGAGAAUAGCGGAGAGUGUAACUUCUGAUCAUCGGUACCAAUCUUAUAUAGCACGGAAUGGUCCAUCUUGGCUUCAGCACGCGAUUGCAGGAGAAGCCUAGACCUUGGUCUUAGGAGCCACGUUCCUAGGGUCUAGAUUCUUAGUGGCUGCCUCCUUGUCUUAGCUUCAUCUUUUAAUCUUUCCAUAUGAGUGUUUCCUCCCUAUUGGGUUGGUUUUUUUUUGUUUCUGUUUGAUAAGUGUUGACCUUUGUCCACCAUGUUACAUUUGGCUGUAUCAGCCUUUGGAUUUGAAUGGUAUUCUUUCAGUGUUAAAAAAAAAUUUUUGCAUCGCUAUUCAUUUGACUGUGUCUAGUUAAUUGAAUCACAUUAAAUCUCAGUUGUAUUGAAUGGUGACAUUGUUUGUUUCUGUUUAUAGAAAAUCAAUGGGUAAUAAAGAUAAUAUGUAAUCAAAGCUGUUGCUUGUUUUUCAAGGCUCAACAGUUGUAUUGUUUGUUGUAUUGUUUUUUUUUUUCUGAAAAAGGGCUUUCAAAUUAAACUGCAAGAAAAUACAUGUAUGAAUUUUCAUUUAUGAGUUUGAUAAAGUUUGCAACAAAUAAAAUGGUUUAAAGAGACCCUAGAUAAAGAUUCACAUUUGAAUCCUAGAAAACAAGACAAAAAAAGACAUUAACUAGUGGUUGUAGUUCCCUCGGCCUCGACUACCUUGUUGUAUUGUUUGUUGUCCGUCUAGAUUGAACCUAUAAGAAAGUUACAAACUUACAAUAUACGUUCAUGUUAUAUUAAAGUCGUUGUAAUUCACAUCAAUUUGCUUUAACGUAUAUCCCAUAGUAUGGUUUGUGUGCGUCACAUUUUAUAUAUUCUUCCUAGUAAAUAUGAAUAUUAAAAUGCAUGUGAAACGUGUAGUUAAGUAGAGAGAGUCUUAUAAUUCUUAUCAGUCUUAUAGUUCUGUUAACGAUCAUUUUCUUCUGCUGAGCAAUGGUGCCUUGAAAACAAAAAGUACAUAAGAACAAUAAGUAAGCUACAUUUUCAUGUUCCUUUCAAGACCCUACGCUUUUAUUUGACGGUUUUAGAUUGGACAUCGAUGCAUUUACAACCGCUCAUGAUUGUGAUCUUCACGAGGUAAUGAUCAUUGUAGCCUUCUCCAUUGUCUGCUUCGUAAGAUUCCAAGGCUGAAGCCACAUCAGCUGCUGCUCUUUUCUCAACCUCAUUGCUUUUUGUUCCUGCAGUUCCACCUUUC